RNAcentral lists this ribosomal RNA (785 nucleotides) under Microbacterium sp. BR-41. RNAcentral describes it as "bacterial SSU rRNA". It matches the Rfam family "Bacterial small subunit ribosomal RNA", at positions 56 to 852 of the family's 1533-position model. The record is from RNAcentral. Lineage: Bacteria; Bacillati; Actinomycetota; Actinomycetes; Micrococcales; Microbacteriaceae.
UGCAAGUCGAACGGUGAAGCAGAGCUUGCUCUGUGGAUCAGUGGCGAACGGGUGAGUAACACGUGAGCAAUCUGCCCCUGACUCUGGGAUAAGCGCUGGAAACGGCGUCUAAUACCGGAUACGAGCUGCGAAGGCAUCUUCAGCAGUUGGAAAGAAUUUCGGUCAGGGAUGAGCUCGCGGCCUAUCAGCUUGUUGGUGAGGUAAUGGCUCACCAAGGCGUCGACGGGUAGCCGGCCUGAGAGGGUGACCGGCCACACUGGGACUGAGACACGGCCCAGACUCCUACGGGAGGCAGCAGUGGGGAAUAUUGCACAAUGGGCGCAAGCCUGAUGCAGCAACGCCGCGUGAGGGAUGACGGCCUUCGGGUUGUAAACCUCUUUUAGCAAGGAAGAAGCGAAAGUGACGGUACUUGCAGAAAAAGCGCCGGCUAACUACGUGCCAGCAGCCGCGGUAAUACGUAGGGCGCAAGCGUUAUCCGGAAUUAUUGGGCGUAAAGAGCUCGUAGGCGGUUUGUCGCGUCUGCUGUGAAAACUGGAGGCUCAACCUCCAGCCUGCAGUGGGUACGGGCAGACUAGAGUGCGGUAGGGGAGAUUGGAAUUCCUGGUGUAGCGGUGGAAUGCGCAGAUAUCAGGAGGAACACCGAUGGCGAAGGCAGAUCUCUGGGCCGUAACUGACGCUGAGGAGCGAAAGGGUGGGGAGCAAACAGGCUUAGAUACCCUGGUAGUCCACCCCGUAAACGUUGGGAACUAGUUGUGGGGUCCAUUCCACGGAUUCCGUGACGCAGC